UAUGUGGAGAUUGGAGUAGAGGUUCUAUCUUCUAGGUUCAAGUAUCGGUAAAAUUUUCUCGUUGUGCUGAAAAGAUUUCCCAGUAGAACUGUUUUUUUCCCUGUUAAUAGUUGUUGAUAUAUGUACUGACAAACUAGUUAGUGUUGGAGAGAAUGGAGAGUUGUUCUGUCUCGAUGCAUAUCUGGUACCCUUGAAUAAAAUUGUGCUGACCAGAAGAGAAACCACGAAAUGACUAUAUUCCUAUAAAGUUUCAAAUUGCAGCCGUGAUCGCAAUUAUUUUUUUUUUGUAGAGGAGUUGUGAUCGCAGUUAUGUCAUAAUUCUUGAUAUUGCAGAAAAUUACAGAUAAAUGCGGAUCAUGCAACUGCAAUUGUGGCCACAACGCGGUCAUGGGAACCCCAAAAACCUAGAUGUGGUAGACUGCAAUUUAAAACUAUGAUCCCAUAACAAAUUCAACUUGUCAAGGGUGAUUACCCUUGUAAAUGCAGGGUAUACCUUUUCAAAAACACAAAAUCCCAUAAACUGCACACUGUCACAAGAUGUUAUGUUCUUGCUAAAACCUCAAAAACCAGUUUGUAGAAAAAUUAAUCCAAUGAACUAGUACACAUCAAUGCUACUAAAACAACAAAAAUUCUAAAUCUAUCCUGCGGCUAAGCAAUGGAGAAUUCUAAAUCAUUAGUAAUUUUGUAUGAAUCCUAUUGAUUAAAGCUAUCAAACAAAAACUCUUUGACCUUAGAAAGAGCUUUAGAAUUUCAAUAUGGCAUAUCCAAGACAAUCUCUCUCUGUAGGAGCGUUCAGAGGAAACUGUAAGCAAGUUUUGCAGGAAAAAACUUUAGUUGAAUUGAGGUUUUAAAUUCUGAUUUCAAAUGAAAUUAUAAUAACAUGAAAUAAAUGAAUUAUAACAAUUCAGCAAUCUUUAACUUUCAUUGGAUGCUCAGGUUUUUUGUUUGGGUCUUAACCCACUGACGAAAUGUUUCUAUGUUGCAGGGUCGCUCUUAUAGUCAUCCUACUUGUGAUAGCAUAUGUCGUGUUGGCUUUUGUUUGCCAUGGGCCUGCAUUACCGUCUUGCUUCUAGUGAAAGGUUGGAGAGUGAGUUUAUGUGUGAUUUUAUACCGUCUCCGGCUUGCAAAGGUUGCUUCUUGUGGUGCAGACUCCCGUUUGUUUCAAUUUCAAUUGCUGGGCUGUCAACGUGUGUGCUGUGAAUUCCUUGCUACAGAUUCCUGGUGUUUUGGGUUGUAGUUAUUACGAGGUUUGAGGGAAAAAUAUUGUGCAUCAUGUCUUUUUAUGUAUUAUCAUACCACCCCAAAAAAUCUUAUAUGUAUUAUCAUACCAACCCCAAAAAAUGGAGUGAACCGGAACAUGAUUGCGAUUUUGAGUUAUUUAAAGUGUUACUAUUAUAGCUUGGUAUAGUCAUCAUCGUUCCCUUCUCUUUUUGUUCAAGAGGAUUAAGGGUAAACUUUUAUUUCAUGUAUCCCUUCGUAGCUCAAUGAAGGGAGAUUGUUUAGCUUCGCUUGCCCCAUUGUUAUAUAUUUAUAUUUGCAAAGGUUCCUUUUUGUUUUGGUUUUCUGCAGUGAAAUACAGUAUUAUCUUAUGACCAAGUGAUGCCUAGUUUUAAUGACCCAAACAGCUGUGAUUGCGGUUUGUAAGAAACUUUUUCUUCAAUUCAAUGUACUUACCAAGUGGCAUAAGAUUUGAUAAUCAGCAGCAACAUUUCUGAUUAUUUAAUGGUUUGAAAAUUAAUGUCGGUUUUGUCUUUUUAUCAUGUUACAAAAAAUAUUGAAGUUCUAUGGCAUUGUAUGCAUGUACUUAAAAGGGAGUACAAGGGAAGUCCCAUUGCCCCUUUUUUUCACCUUAUCUAGUUUGUGUCAAGUUCUAUAGCAUUAUAUGCAUGUACUUAAAAGUGUCCUAACACCUUGACAAUUGAAGCCGU
Molecule: long non-coding RNA, 1928 nt
Filed under: Trifolium pratense (red clover)
Lineage: Eukaryota; Viridiplantae; Streptophyta; Magnoliopsida; Fabales; Fabaceae
Description: long non-coding RNA (TPRA_LNC001859)
Source: RNAcentral